RNAcentral lists this ribosomal RNA (429 nucleotides) under Acidobacteriota bacterium. RNAcentral's name for it is "Acidobacteria bacterium partial 16S ribosomal RNA". It matches the Rfam family "Bacterial small subunit ribosomal RNA", at positions 355 to 776 of the family's 1533-position model. The record is from RNAcentral. Lineage: Bacteria; Pseudomonadati; Acidobacteriota.
UGGGGAAUCUUCCGCAAUGGACGAAAGUCUGACGGAGCAACGCCGCGUGAGUGAAGACGGCCUUCGGGUUGUAAAGCUCUGUUAUACGGGACGAACGGGCGAGGGGCUAAUACCCUCUUGUCGUGACGGUACCGUAAGAGAAAGCCACGGCUAACUACGUGCCAGCAGCCGCGGUAAUACGUAGGUAGCAAGCGUUGUCCGGAAUUAUUGGGCGUAAAGGGUGCGCAGGCGGUCUCUUAAGUCUGUCUUAAAAGUGCGGGGCUUAACCCCGUGAGGGGACGGAAACUGGGAGACUGGAGUAUCGGAGAGGAAAGCAGAAUUCCUAGUGUAGCGGUGAAAUGCGUAGAUAUUAGGAGGAAUACCAGUGGCGAAAGCGGAUUUCUGGACGACAACUGACGCUGAGGCACGAAAGCCAGGGGAGCAAACGGG